Juglans microcarpa x Juglans regia is the source of this 2666-nucleotide RNA transcript. It is a transcript of the gene named casein kinase 1-like protein 3, with no coding region annotated. The record is from RefSeq and is a predicted model, not a curated record. The transcript is spliced from 17 exons. Lineage: Eukaryota; Viridiplantae; Streptophyta; Magnoliopsida; Fagales; Juglandaceae.
UCAUUUAUCGAGUAUAUAUAAUUUCUUGAUCCUUCUCUCCGGGUCUUCAUCCGUCGGCCUUCAUUGAAGACCUCGUUCCAAAUCAUUCGUUGGGAACCCUCCGACAUUCUUUUAAUUGAGUUCCACAGGAGAGGGAGGGAGCGAUAGGAAGAUAUAAAUGGAGAGGAUCGUGGGAGAGAAGUACAAAUUAGGUCGCAAAAUAGGCAGCGGAUCGUUUGGUGAAAUUUUUCUUGCGACCCAUAUCGACACCUGUGAAAUCGUCGCCGUGAAGAUUGAAAACCGCAAGACCAAGCAUCCGCAAUUGCUAUAUGAGGCCAAGCUAUAUAAUAUUCUUAAAGGAGGAAGCGGUAUUGCAAACAUGAAAUGGUGUGGAGUAGAUGGAGAAGACAAUGCCCUCAUCCUUGACUUGCUGGGACCAAGUCUUGAAGAUCUUUUCGUCUAUUGUGGAAGGAAGUUCUCCCUGAAAACGGUUUUAAUGUUGGCUGAUCAUAUGAUUACAAGAAUAGAGUAUGUGCAUUCUAAAGGGUAUUUGCAUAGAGACAUCAAACCAGAUAACUUCCUCAUGGGUCUUGGCAGGAAAGCAACUCUGGUCUAUAUGAUUGAUUUUGGACUUGCAAAAAGAUACCGAGAUCCGACAACAAAUAAGCAUAUUCCUUACAGAGAGAACAAAAACUUGACAGGGACUGCACGUUAUGCAAGUUGCAAUACUCAUUUGGGAAUUGAACAAAGCCGUCGGGAUGAUUUGGAGUCACUUGGCUAUGUUCUCCUGUACUUUCUAAGAGGAAGUCUUCCUUGGCAGGGUCUAAAGGCUGCAGUAAAAAAGCAAAAAUAUGACAAGAUAUGUGAGAAGAAGUUAUCGACUCCUAUUGAGUUCCUGUGCAAGUCACAUCCUGUGGAGUUUGCAUCAUACUUCCAUUAUUGCCACUCUUUGACUUUUGAUCAAACGCCUGAUUAUGGAUUCUUGAAGCGCCUGUUUCGUGACUUGUUUACUCGAGAAGGAUAUGAGUUCGAUUAUGUAUUUGAUUGGACCAUUCUAAAAUACCAGCAGACACAACGGACAAAGACGCAGGCUCAAUCAACUCCAGUUGGAGUGACUGGCAGGCUACCAAUGCCGAUGGAUGUGAAUAAGCAUAUAGGAAUUAAGGAUGCGUCUUAUUCAGCUCAGGUUACAAAGCCUGGGGGAGCAAGUAAGCAUACACAUCAAGAUGUUCAUAUGCAGUUUAGAUCAUCUACAAGUCGCAAUUUUGGUGUUCCAAACCCAGUGGAGGAACAUACAGUGAGAAAUGUGCUGAUGCCAUCUACUUCAUCUGCUCUGCCAAGAGCUUUAAAAAGUAAAUUUGCCGCACCUGAGGGUCCAGCACAAACUGUUUACAUGGGUCGUGGACUCGGGAAUGGAACUGGUGCUUCAAGCAGCUGGAUGGCAUCAUUAAAACGAAAUUCUUCAACCAAGUAACCGCUAUGGAUCUGAAGUAUUGCACUCAAAGAAUGCACACCGAUGGCAAAAGUGACAUAGUUUCAAUUGAUUGAGGUCUUCCAUUGCCAGAUCGUAUAAUCUGUUUUUUUAUGCGAGGGGACUAGAAAGUAUAAACGCAUUGGAUGUUGCUAGGACUGGAUUUGUCGAUGCUUGGCACUAAGCAUUCCAAAGCAUUGGGUUUCUGCAUGCAUAGGAUGAGUAGCUUUCUGUUCUUAUUGCUCUAUCUUUUUUGGAUCAAACCCUGGAUGUUGACCUGGAUAAGUUUGAACCCAGGUUCCCAGGCCCUUCGGAAUUUAAAAAGUACUGUAAGAUGUUCUUUCAGAUUUUUAUAUUUGAACAGUACGAAAGGAAGUUGUUCUUCGGAACUCUUGAUGUGAAAUGAAGAUGGUAUGUAGGAAUCUGUCUAUCAAUUUUUGAGGCUUUGGAUCUUAGUGGCUCCGAGGUAACUAGUGUAGUUGAUGUUGUGAGGGCUGAACUUGCAUCAAGUCCAUUUCUCACUCCCUCUCUCCCCCCCCCACCUCUUUCUAUUUUUUCACCUUUUGGCCAAGGAAUAGAUCCUAAUCAAUAAAAGAUACAAUAUUUUAUACUUGUGGAUAUAUUUCAUCUUACAUUCAAGAUGUGAAAAGAGGUCCUGUUGUCUUCAAGCAAAAGCCAUUGUGGACUCUUUCUUGUCUACGUGUUUUGUUUCCCUUUUUAUACUGUCAUCCCUCUAUUACAUUUUCUUUUUUAAAUAUAGUCUCAACACAUUGGCUCGGCAUCUUCCAGAUAUUUUGUUUCAUUGGAUCUUUUCCCAGUCUUUUUCCUUCCCCAUUGGCCGAUAUGCUCUGCAAUUUGAUGUUCUAUUCAGUUAACGAAAUGAUACACAACAUUGGAUGGUUCUUAUAUUGCGGAGCUUUAUGUAAGGGAAAUCAAAUAUCAUUUUAGAUAUCACUUUCUUACCAUUCAUAAAAUGGGAUUGGGAGACGAGUCUAUUCUUCAGUGGGCUAUUAGUUUAGGUGAUGAGCCACGACAUGGUGCCUGAUAAUGUGGAAUCCAUAAUGGUUGAGUAAUUAUUAUUUAUUGGGGGGGUAUCAUCAUGGUUGAGUUAUUGGACAAGCAAUUAUUUCUUCUGAUUAAUUAUUUUUUUCAAUUCUGAUUAUGAAUGCAUUUUCGUAAAGCUAUUGAUGAUUGUUGAGAGUUUAUUUUUUCAUUU